RNAcentral lists this non-coding RNA (29 nucleotides) under Mus musculus (house mouse). The record is from RNAcentral. Lineage: Eukaryota; Metazoa; Chordata; Mammalia; Rodentia; Muridae.
UGACUCUUCAGAGCAUGUAAUCCUUCAGA